UACAGAGGUCCCAAGCGUUGUUCGGAUUCACUGGGCGUAAAGGGUGCGUAGGUGGCGAGGUAAGUCGGAUGUGAAAGCUCGGAGCUCAACUCCGAAAUGGCAUUGGAAACUACCUUGCUAGAGGGUCGGAGGGGGGACUGGAAUUCUUGGUGUAGCAGUGAAAUGCGUAGAUAUCAAGAGGAACACCAGUGGCGAAGGCGGCGACCUGGACAGAUAUUGACGCUGAGGUGCGAAAGCGUGGGGAGCAAACAGG
RNAcentral lists this ribosomal RNA (253 nucleotides) under uncultured bacterium. RNAcentral describes it as "partial 16S ribosomal RNA". It matches the Rfam family "Bacterial small subunit ribosomal RNA", at positions 524 to 776 of the family's 1533-position model. The record is from RNAcentral.